UCUACUCAUCAGAGCAAUGGCCUGGACGUGCCCUACACUUCCUCACAUUUCUUCAGAAUAUUAUUGUUCGAAGGCAGAGGAAUGAGAUAAGGAAUAUACUGAUAAGAGUAAUUAACUGUGUCGGAUAGAUCUCGGAUUUAGAAGCAGAUCUGAUGUACAGUAAGAUAGCAUGGUGAACAGUCUGGCUGCAAGAGCAGAGGUGACCUUCCUAGAAGAGCCUGGGACAAAAUGUGUGCUUAAAUUGUUUCUGAAUAGGUGGAGAUUUCUAAAGUGGCAUUUCAGCUAUACCGAGAACUAAGAAAAGCAAGGAAUAAAAUCUGCAUAUUUAGGUUUAUAAAACCAUCUUCCUGAGUCAGCGCUGGUAUUUAAAGGUGACAACGCAUCAUGCUCGCAAGCACUUGGAACAACGAUUCUACCUAGAAACCUGGAUAAGGAGUUAGGAACAGGCGAAAGGAUGUGCGUAAAGGCUGGAGCGGCCCCCGGCAGCCGCAGCAGCGGCGCCGUGGGCCGUUGCUUGGCCAGGAGUCACCACGAUAUUCUGCUCUCCUCCGUGCAUGCAUCUCCCAUGUCCCUACGGCGUCAAAGCUCACGAGUGGGACCUUGGAAAGCGGCUUUAAUCUAUAGUGCGGUUUUACAGUUUUCUGUGUUAUUUGGAAACAGGACUUCAUAGCUUCUGUUGUGAACGGGGGAAUACUGUUACUCCCAUUCUGCAGAUGGGAAAGGAAGCACGGCAUGCUGCAAUAAUUUGCCCAAGUUCACUUGUGAAGUCUGUGGCAGAGCAAGGUGUCAACUGGACCUUCAUCAGAUCAAUGUAGUGACUAUUAGACACCUUCACUCCAAAAUAUUUGGGCUUAAGAAUUCUCCCCUGGCCAGCUGCAAAGGUGCUAAGAGGUUUCCAGUCCUUAGCACCUGAGAUAUUGGCCCGGAGUAAGGGUGAAUAACUUGUUUGUGGCAUUUAAAUGUUGCUAGCUGUAGAAAUGCUGAAGAGCGAGUUUUCCAGAUUAGGUUGUUUGCCUUCCUUAAGGAAGGAGUAAAAGAAAAAGGCAGAUGGAGGGGGAAUGAUGAAAAAUAAGUUAAUGUAUCUGUUUGUAGCUCUAGCAGUUCUGAAUUAUGCGAGUGCAUACAUUUCAAGUGGAACAUCUCACCAUUACGAAGAUACUUUUCUGAUAAUGAAAUGGCUCUUACAAUUCAGAAUUUAUUCAUAUGUCUCAGGAAAAGCAAUCUCUGUUGCUUGGAAGACAAGAAUGAAAAAUUUCAACCUAGAUUUAUUUCAUUAAAAAAUUACGAACAAGUGAAAAAUAGAUGCUAGAAAGUAAUCUGGAAAUCAAUCUUAACUACACAACAGUUACUUGAUUUAUGAAUAGCAAUUUUUUUCCUGCAUAUACAAUAAAUUCUUGGCAGAAUAAAAUUGUGGUAUUUUUCACAGCAGCAAAAAGUGAUAGAUGUUUAUUUCAAGACAAGGACUUCAAAUGCUGCCCACACCAUAAUUAAGCAAAGCUCGUAAUUACAGAGUCCUGUCACUGUUCACCUAUUAUCUAGGAUCUUCCGGAACUUCAUGUUGCCAUGUACAAGUGCCAGAUGCAAAGUCUGACACUUCACGUCUGAUCUGUGGGUGCAGAUUUCCUGUUACCGUGACAGUCUGACACAGCUAGAGCAGGCUUCUGGCUUUGCACGUAUGAUAAAAAGAAGUGACCUGGUAGUGAAAGUUUCCUGCAUUCAUCUUGGAAAAGUGUCCCUAGAGCACAGAGGCCAAGAGCAAAAUUUAUUUCCAGUUUGGUUUGGGAUGCAUUUCUCAUUGUAUUAGAUAUAAAGAAGGCCUUUUAAUUUCACGGUCCCUGGGAAAGGGAAACUCGAGUAAGCUGAAAAUAUUGUGAAAUAAUUUCUGCAUAAACAUCUGAUACUAAAGUCUUGAACUACUGAUGCUGACGAGAUUGAGCUGUAAUUAUAUUUCUUUCUCAGGAUGUGCUUCCAAAUCCUGAGUGUAUAUCAUUUGAUUAUAGUUUAUGUGUCAGGUUUGUUGCAUAGCGUUAUAAAUUCCAGUCUUAUUUGCACGGUGUAGUAAAGUGUUAAGUAAAGAUACUGAGAGAGCAUGUGUGGAAAGCACCUAAGUUCCAGUAUUUGAAAUACCUGUGGUAUGAGGCUGACUUUGAUAUCUGCUCCCUCUUAAAGAGUGCUCCUGAAUUUCAUGUAUUGUUCUAGAUAUUUUUCUUCCUGGAAAAAAUGUCAACACUGAGUAAAUCGGCCCAUGGCUAAUUUAAGUGAGAUGUUUGAGACUUCUCCAGUGGGAAAUACUUGGGAAGGUCUGUUGUGCUGCAGUUCUUGUUCAGUGUUCGGGGGGUUUUGGAUGACCCCAGGCUGUUAGGGGAAGAGUGUUUCAACCCAGUCUGAUGUGCAGAGCGAAAAAUAGAAAAGUGCCUCUGCAGGCACCUAGGAAGGACUUCUAAGCAAAACUCAAGAUUUCAGCAUGGGGUCAGGGCUACUGGAAACUUAGGAGAGAGUGAGAGCAGUUUGUUGCAUGAUUCUGGCAGACAGAGGAUGAAUUUUGAGGUUUGCCCCUCAGGACGCUGCUCUCUCUUGUUCGACAGCAGCGCUUGUUCUCUUCUAGUGUUAUUUUGGAAAGUGUGGAGGGAAGUCUUUUGUUAUUGCAUCUCGCUGGAAGGCCACGAGAAAGAGGUUGGUCACUGGUCAUUUCACUACUGUAUUGGCUAGCUGCUCGAAGCAGUCCGGAUAGCGCUGUGGCUUUAGGUGUAGAUGAGA
Rhea pennata is the source of this 2757-nucleotide long non-coding RNA. RefSeq lists it as uncharacterized. The transcript has 4 exons. The record is from RefSeq and is a predicted model, not a curated record. NCBI's taxonomy places the organism in Eukaryota, Metazoa, Chordata, Aves, Rheiformes, Rheidae.